GGGGUGUUUUGCUGGGCUGGGCCUUGAUUCUCUACCAGCCGGCUUGCCCUUUAUAGGGGUGGCCCAACUAAACCCCCACUUUUACCGCUCUUUAAUGAGAGUGUUCACAGCCCGCCUCUUUCUCUUUAAAUAAAUUUGGAAUAUUAAAAUAGGCUAUCCUCUUCUAUUUUGGCGUUUCUGGAAUAAUGGAAUUGAACCUCAGGUCCAUUUGGGGGGUUUUCGGAACCCCGACUAAAGGUUAAAUUCUUGGAUUGACUCAAAUCCAGACUGAAAGAAAGCAUUUGCCAAGGAUGUUUUCAUUAAUCAAGUUCGAAGGUUAGGGGAUCGAAAACGAUCAGAUACCGAAGUUCUUUUAACAGUUAAGUAGGCAGAUUAGGGAUCGGAUGACCUUAAAAUUGAUGGGUCAUUUGGCACCUUACGAGAAAUCAAAGUCUUUGGGUUCUGGGGGGAGUAUGGUGGCAAGGCUGAAACUUAAAGGAAUUGACGGAAGGGCACCACCAGGUGUGGAGCCUGCGGCUUAAUUUGACUCAACACGGGGAAACUCACCAGGUCCAGACAUAACUAGGAUUGACGGAUUGAUAGCUCUUUCAUGAUUUUAUGGGUGGUGGUGCAUGGCCGUUCUUAGUUGGUGGAGUGAUUUGUCUGGUUAAUUACGAUAACGAACGAGACCUUAACUUGCUAAAUAGCCAGGCCGGCUUCGGCUGGUCUCUGGAUUUUUAGAGGGACCUCAG
RNAcentral lists this ribosomal RNA (731 nucleotides) under uncultured eukaryote. RNAcentral's name for it is "bacterial SSU rRNA". It matches the Rfam family "Eukaryotic small subunit ribosomal RNA", at positions 671 to 1425 of the family's 1831-position model. The record is from RNAcentral.